GACGGCGCCCACCCUGCGACCCCAGGUCAGGCGGGAUUACCCGCUGAAUUUAA
This 53-nucleotide ribosomal RNA is filed under the name Coptis chinensis. RNAcentral's name for it is "partial 28S ribosomal RNA". The record is from RNAcentral. Lineage: Eukaryota; Viridiplantae; Streptophyta; Magnoliopsida; Ranunculales; Ranunculaceae.